GAUCAGCCACACUGGGACUGACACACGGUCCAGACUCCUACGGGAGGCAGCAGUGAGGAAUUUUGCGCAAUGGGGGAAACCCUGACGCAGCAACGCCGCGUGAGUGAUGAAGGCCUUCGGGUCGUAAAGCUCUGUCAAGUGGGAAGAACCUGCAUUGGGUUAACAUCUCAGUGCACUGACGGUACCACUGAAGGAAGCACCGGCUAACUCCGUGCCAGCAGCCGCGGUAAUACGGAGGGUGCAAGCGUUAUUCGGAAUUAUUGGGCGUAAAGGGCGCGUAGGCGGCCGUUUAAGUCAGGUGUGAAAGCCCGGGGCUUAACCCCGGAAGUGCAUUUGAUACUGAGCGGCUUGAGUAUGGGAGAGGGAAGUGGAAUUCCUGGUGUAGAGGUGAAAUUCGUAGAUAUCAGGAGGAACACCGGUGGCGAAGGCGACUUCCUGGACCAAUACUGACGCUGAGGCGCGAAGGCGUGGGGAUCAAACAGGAUUAGAUACCCUGGUAG
RNAcentral lists this ribosomal RNA (500 nucleotides) under uncultured sulfate-reducing bacterium. RNAcentral describes it as "bacterial SSU rRNA". It matches the Rfam family "Bacterial small subunit ribosomal RNA", at positions 302 to 793 of the family's 1533-position model. The record is from RNAcentral.